Molecule: ribosomal RNA, 447 nt
Filed under: uncultured bacterium
Lineage: Bacteria
Description: bacterial SSU rRNA
Rfam family: Bacterial small subunit ribosomal RNA
Source: RNAcentral
UGGGGAAUCUUGGACAAUGGGCGCAAGCCUGAUCCAGCCAUGCCGCGUGAAGGAUGAAGUAUUUCGGUAUGUAAACUUCGAAAGAGUAGGAAGAAUAAAUGACGGUACUAUUUAUAAGGUCCGGCUAACUACGUGCCAGCAGCCGCGGUAAUACGUAGGGACCAAGCGUUGUUCGGAUUUACUGGGCGUAAAGGGCGCGUAGGCGGCAAUUCAAGUCAUCUGUGAAAUCUCCGGGCUUAACUCGGAACGGUCAGAUGAUACUGCUUUGCUAGAGUGCAGAAGGGGCAAUCGGAAUUCUUGGUGUAGCGGUGAAAUGCGUAGAUAUCAAGAGGAACACCUGAGGUGAAGACGGGUUGCUGGGCUGACACUGACGCUGAGGCGCGAAAGCCAGGGGAGCAAACGGGAUUAGAUACCCGAGUAGUCCCUGAGCGGGCUGGCAAGGCGCAU